This is an RNA transcript of Sapajus apella (tufted capuchin), 2177 nucleotides long. RefSeq lists it as uncharacterized. The transcript has a single exon. NCBI's taxonomy places the organism in Eukaryota, Metazoa, Chordata, Mammalia, Primates, Cebidae. The record is from RefSeq and is a predicted model, not a curated record.
UGGCUGCACAUCUUCAGUCAUGUAUUCUUGUCCCCCUGAAAAUGAUAGCAAGUCGUUUCUCCUGAGCAUCAGCCCCCCAGGCCCCAGCCCUUGGCGUUUCCAGGAGGCCCUGUUCUUAGAGCGCCUGACAAAGAGAGCACUUACUUCCUGGGCUGGUGCACCCCGACACGUGGCCCUGACACUCAGCGUGGCCCGACGCCCAGUGAGCCCCGCACUCCCGGCUUUGCUCUGCCCAGCAAAUUUGGCGCCCAGAGGUGGCAAGGGCCAGGGAGCCUGGCCCGGGUGUGAGAAUUCGGAGAUGCUCGUCUCCAGCUGUCACUACCGUAAUGGGACCCUGGUGCUGUGUGGUAUGGACAGGGAUGUGAUGGGGCAGCCGGCUAUGUCCAUGGCCAGGGUCAGGGCUGCAAACCAGGGGUCCCACCUGGCCACGUCUGCCCAGGGCCCUUCCAUUCCACCCGAAUGCUGUCCCAAUGCUUACUCCUUGGAUUGUGGCCCCUCCAUCCCCCAAGUGGAAAUUCCAAAGGAGGCCACGUUGCACCUGGCCUGUGCUGCUCCUCAGACCCCAGCCCCCAGCGAGCCAAUGUCCCCACCUCGUUCCUGCUCUCAUUCCCAGGUUGGGCACUCGGGGCUGCUCCUCUGUGGGCCCAGCAGACCCUUCACAAGUGGGACCCAAGAUGUCACUGACUCCAACCCAGAGGGGUGAGCCCCUGCACCCUGCCUGGGGCCCUGAGGUGUGGAGCAGUGACUGGGGUGGGCAUGGUGUGUCCUGUGUGACUGCCCAGCCGCAGAGGCCUUCCUUUAUGAGGCCGCUGCCCAUCCACACCCCGACUGGCCAAGGCCUCCACAUCCUCUGAGUCUGACCCUGGAAAUCCAAGGGCCCUGGAGUCUUCUGCCUUCCCCACUUCCCCGUGAGCAUCUGCAAAGCACUUGCCUGAAUACAUAUCACGUGUUUUAGACUCGAGGCCUCGAACACUGGAUUGUGGUCCCCUGCCCCUCUGUCCCCUGUCCCCCUGCCCAAGUGACUGAAACCUACUGAGCUAUAUUCACUGUCCUGGGGGAGGGAGAGGAGAGCUCCCCUGCACUGCGGCCUGGUGGGGGGGGCAACGGGCCCCUCCCAGCCAGGGACACCAGGACACAGCUGCUCCUGGCCAGUGGAGGUCAGCCGGGUAUCAAAAGCCAUGAAACUGUGUCUCUGUAGCAAUGAGUGAUACUGUGACGAAAAUGUUCUUGCAUUCUCCCGAGAAGGGUUCCUCCGCCCCUUCCAUUCCAUUUUUGUGUUUGUUUUGUUCUUUUCUGUCACUGAUUCAUAUUACCACUUUUGGAAAAAAUAAAAUAGAAUAAAUAAAAGGCAGCUUGAGUUUCCAAACGUGCGACUCACUUGUGAACAAAAGUCACUCGAACGAUCGCCUUCAGGGCCGUGCGCAUCGCCUCUGCUCUUUCAGCCCGAGGGGCGCUGAGCCCUGGUGUCCGAACCCGUAACUUACAGCGUGUGUGUGCGCACUGACUUUGUCCCUUAAGGUAUAUGGAGAGGAUCCUGGUGGAAUCGCAGACCUGUGCCGCCCGCCACCUUUUGCCAUCGUUAUGUUACAGAUUUGGUUUUGUUUUUGUUUUUUUCCUUUUAGAACUGUAUAGCGUUGAAAAAGAAAUCAAAUACAAAUGUCUGGUUUCCAUAUAACGUUUAAAAAAGACCAUUGAGAAGGAGGCUGGCGCUCACCCCGUGUCCCCCUUGAUUGUAAAUGGCUUCUGUUCUGUUUAGAAGUAAACCGUGCAUGACUCCUGCUUAAGCAGUCAUUAUCGUGUCUGUUGGUGAAAUUUUUAUUAAAAGGAAAAUUCCGUAGAUGCACUUAUUGAAUAUGUGAUUAGGACCGACGUCCGAGACUAGGAGUCCUGAACUGCCCACGCAGAAAAGGCGCAGUUCGAAAUUAAUGUGGAAAUCGCUGUGGGAGAAGGAUGAAGGAGACGUGAAGUGUCGGGAAUCAUUAAAAUAACAAUUUUGCAAAUUGCAUUCUGAUGCUUGUGAUAAAGACAAAUGUACUUGUGUAGAGAAAUUUCCUGAAGAUAAAGCCUAGGAGAAGCUGAUUUUGAGGUUAAUGCUGUAGAAUAGGACUGUAUCUUUCCAAUGCUACAAUGAAUUUAUACAUGAGAUUGAUAUGCAAUAAAUCUGUGUGCUUUUCUAA